This 387-nucleotide ribosomal RNA is filed under the name uncultured bacterium. RNAcentral describes it as "bacterial SSU rRNA". It matches the Rfam family "Bacterial small subunit ribosomal RNA", at positions 28 to 416 of the family's 1533-position model. The record is from RNAcentral.
GACGAACGCUGGCGGCGUGCUUAACACAUGCAAGUCGAACGAUGAAGCCCAGCUUGCUGGGUGGAUUAGUGGCGAACGGGUGAGUAACACGUGGGUGAUCUGCCCUGCACUCUGGGACAAGCCUGGGAAACUGGGUCUAAUACCGGAUAUGACCUCUUGCUGCAUGGCGAGGGGUGGAAAGUUUUUCGGUGCAGGAUGAGCCCGCGGCCUAUCAGCUUGUUGGUGGGGUAAUGGCCUACCAAGGCGACGACGGGUAGCCGGCCUGAGAGGGCGACCGGCCACACUGGGACUGAGACACGGCCCAGACUCCUACGGGAGGCAGCAGUGGGGAAUAUUGCACAAUGGGCGAAAGCCUGAUGCAGCGACGCCGCGUGAGGGAUGACGGCC